GGGAGUGAAAUAGAACCUGAAACCCUGCACUUACAAGCUGUGGAAGCACAUUUCUUGUGUGACCGCGUACUUUUUGUAGAACGGGCCAACGAGUUACGUUAAGUAGCAAGGUUAAGCACUUAAGGUGUGGAGCCGUAGCGAAAGCGAGUUUUAACUGAGCGUUCAGUUACUGGACGUAGACCCGAAACCGGGCGACCUACCCAUGAGCAGGAUGAAGCGAAAGUAAAAUUUCGUGGAGGUCCGAACCCACGAGCGUUGAAAAGCUCGGGGAUGACUUGUGGGUAGCGGUGAAAUUCCAAUCGAGCCCGGAGAUAGCUGGUUCUCCCCGAAAUAGCUUUAGGGCUAGCCUCAAGGUGAGAGAUACGGAGGUAGAGCACUGAAUGUCCUAGGGGGUAUUGCACCUACCGAAGACUAUCAAACUCCGAAUGCCGUCAUCUUAUACUUGGGAGUCAGACUGUGGGUGAUAAGAUUCAUAGUCGAAAGGGCAACAGCCCAGAUCGUCAGCUAAGGUCCCUAAAUGUAAGUUAAGUGGUAAAGGAUGUGGGAUUGCACAGACAACCAGGAUGUUGGCUUAGAAGCAGCCACUCAUUCAAAGAGUGCGUAAUAGCUCACUGGUCGAGUGAUCCUGCGCCGAAGAUUUCCGGGGCUAAAACUUACUACCGAAGCUACGGCAUCAGUAAUGAUGGGUAGGGGAGCUUCCCAUACGGGUUGAAGCAUGACCGUAAGGACAUGUGGACAGUAUGGGAGUGAGAAUGUUGGCAUGAGUAGCGAGAUGUGGGUGAGAAUCCCACAGGCCGUAAACCCAAGGU
This 809-nucleotide ribosomal RNA is filed under the name Clostridioides difficile. RNAcentral describes it as "bacterial LSU rRNA". It matches the Rfam family "Bacterial large subunit ribosomal RNA", at positions 534 to 1351 of the family's 2925-position model. Lineage: Bacteria; Bacillati; Bacillota; Clostridia; Peptostreptococcales; Peptostreptococcaceae. The record is from RNAcentral.